Long non-coding RNA from Pundamilia nyererei, 437 nucleotides. RefSeq lists it as uncharacterized. The transcript is spliced from 4 exons. The record is from RefSeq and is a predicted model, not a curated record. Lineage: Eukaryota; Metazoa; Chordata; Actinopteri; Cichliformes; Cichlidae.
UUUAUAACUGCUCUUGAGUAUGAUAAAUAAAUAAUUCAAUUAAUUAAUUUAUAAACGCUAUUUCAACCCUCAAACUCUAAAGGUAGCAUUAACUAGGUAUUAAGAAACCUUCAGCCAGCCCUUUAGUUUGCAAGUUGUCAUGGUAACCGUAUAUGGAUAGCUAGGUUAUUGUAACGCUAGUGAACAACUGCGCUAAAAAGGGUAUUAGCAGAUAAAAGAAAAUACAGACACUCGCAAAGGUAACUUUUGAAUGGCUACUUUAGUAGACAACUUAAUUGAAGAUGAAGCCGAAAGAGAGAGACUUCUUGCUAAGCCCACCUGCUUUAUCAUCGUUGGAAGACCGGGUGUUGGCAAAUCCACCUUGGCCAAAAAAAUUGCAGAGUCCUGGAGGUGUAUCCUUAUUGAUGAUACCAAUCUUCUCAACACACACAUAAAAA